Molecule: long non-coding RNA, 2993 nt
Organism: Mugil cephalus (flathead mullet)
Lineage: Eukaryota; Metazoa; Chordata; Actinopteri; Mugiliformes; Mugilidae
Exons: 2
Source: RefSeq, a predicted model, not a curated record
CACUCACCGGAACAGAACGGAAUUGUACCAGGAUGUAAACAUGUUAAAUAUUGCUGUCAAGUUGGGCUUUUUGGCAUUUGCUCCUUUUUGGAACCUUUUUGAACCAGCCUCAAGUGGCCACUCGAUGAACUGCAAUAUUUUGUACUUCCACAUGGGCUUCAUGGUUAAGACGCAGAGGUAACGUAGCCUGACGUGCAGCUCAUUGAUACAGUUCAUUGAUACAAAUGUUUGUCUUGUGUUCUGCGAAAUUUUGGUAAAAGUUUCAGUCUGCAAUGAUGAAAGUGAAGCAGAAAAAUAGCAGUGGCAAAACACGCAGCGCCCACUAGCGUUUGGGAGGCUCUUUUACAGAGUAAGCCAGAUUGACGAACAUAACUGAGUGUAAAGCUUAGGCUACAUGCGUAGGAUAUGCUGUCUGUACUGCAGUACAUUAAAUAAGCCUAUAGAGUUAGGGAAAUAUUAAGAGCCAAUGCAAAAAGAAACAGGGUCUUGAUCUUCACUGACUCUCCUACUGCCUGUGUUCCCAUCCCAGGAGAAGACAAAAGUCAUAGUUUUUGUGUAUUGAAUUGCAGGGUGAUGAAUUCUCCUUUCUUCGUGCCAAAGUUGGGGAUUUAAGGGAAAGGGAAGUGGGUGAGAGUUGUGUGUGCGGUGGUGGUAGUGGUGGUGGUGGGAGGGGUUGUUGUGUUGGGGCUGUGUUGUACGCAUCAUUUCAUGGGUGACAGAAAAUGGAGAGCCCCCAGUGGGUGCCUCCUUCUGCUCAGAGAAGCCAGAGGAGAAAGACUUUAGGGACUGAGAGAGAGUGAGAGAAGGGUUGGUGGUGGGGAGGCGGGGGGCUCGGCCAUCACAUGGGAUAGAUCAAACCACAGCUGGCUGAUUUCAUUCGUCCCUCGCCUCCCACUCUACACACAUCCACCCCUCCGUCUCCUUGAAACACCUCCCUCCAUUUCUCUCUCUUCUUUCAGAGGCGCUGUGGAACACAGGAGAUCAUAAUUUCUUCAGCAUUCAGCCUGUUGAUCAUUCGUAAUGAAAACUUUAGGAUUAGGACUUUUACACAUUCUUUUACCAGCACCUCCAGCUGUGAUCUAAAACUCUAUGAUCUCAACCACUUGGCUAUUAUAUAAUCUAGGGUGGUUGCGUGUAUAAAGGCCAACCGGGAUAGCUAUCUAUUUGGGAUUUUAACAACUGUGCUUGACCUCAGAUUCCUUUCGGAGGCCUUUCUCACCGUGUGCCUUUUCCUCUGUUUAAUUGCAGAAACAAUUGGGCAGAGCAGCACUUUGGGCUAAAUGCUAAUGCCAGCAUGUAAAGUGACGAACGUGCCGAUGUUUAGCGAGUGUGGCAUUUAACCGGUGCCUUGUUAACAUUUUAGUAUUUCAUAUUCUUCACAGUGUUUCGUCAGUGUUGCAAAACAUUUUUUAAAUGAAAAAAAAAAAGGCAAAUUCUAAAUUUGUCCAAAUUUGGAGAACACUGUGGAACUGCCAAAGUUGCAGUAGGAAAAGUCUGGGUGCUCACAUUGUAGGAUUCAUCCUCGAAGGACUGUAAAUACGCAUGUGCUAACAUGUAUUGCAGUCCAUCUAACAGCUUUUGAGAUAUUUUAUCUUAUCCAAACUGGACUCAGUGUCUGCCAGUAAAUUCUAAGAGCUUUCGGUACUUGUCGCUGAAAGAAAAGAACUUAUUAUUAUGUGUAGUGACUCCUUGAAAUUGAGUGUUUGCACCUUAAGAACUGCCAGAAUUCUUGAACUUUUGAGUUUUGCAUACCCCUGCAAGAUGUCUUCCUCCUUUCUGACAGCGUAACUCUUUUUCAUCGCAAACACUUUCUUAAGAUACUGCCGUUCCUGAUAUUUAGCAGCUAUCAAUUGCCUUUUGUCUAAACUUCAUGUUAAGAUAUGAACUCAAGAGCGAAAAUACUGGAGGCAGAAAGUCCACAUGACCACCAUAGCUAUAUUUCAAUCAGCGCUGUUACCCCCACCUCCUACGCUUCCUGCUACGUGCUCUCCUUUUUUUUUUUUUUUUUUUUCCAUGCAGAGAAGGCGGAGGACGUAGAGAGAUCAGACCACACAUACAGAUCCAGGCCUCCACCCUCCACCCCCAGCCUCCAGUUCCCCCGCCAUCUGUGCACGUCCCUCUGCCUGCAACUCCACAACAACAAGGCCCUGAACCUCCGCAGAGGAGUCAAUCCAUCACGGGCGAAAGAGAGAAAAGAGACGGAGAAAGGAAGUAAAAGGAUGGAAAGGAUGGACGGGGGCGGAGGGGUGGGUGUUGGAAAAAGGCGAGCCCUGCUGUCUGGCUAGCUGGCUCGCUGCCUUCCUGGCUCAUCAACACCGGUCGGACGGACAGACGAUGAUGAUGAUGACAGUCAUCAGGGAUGUAGCAGCCUCCAUUCGACAGUAGGAGCGAGAGGAGCAGGUGCAGAAAAUUGGGAACAAAGAGGAAGGACUGAGUGGAGAGAUAGAUCAAGAGAGAGGAUAACAAAGAGACAGUUAUACUGUAUCUACCUGGCCAGGUAUGGGGUCCAGGUUAUGUUGGAUUCAAAUCGAAGGCAUAAAGAAGCAGCAAAGUUAACAUGUUCAUAGUGCGCAAAUUCUUUAACAUCAUAAAUGGUUUUUAACGCACAAUUAACGCACGCACAUUAUUAUGACUUCAGGAUCGUUUGGAAAAUCAUGAAGUAACGGGGUGGAAAGCAAGUAGAAUCUUAAGUGCUGUUGUAGUAAAUAAUUCUAAAAGAAAAAAAAGCAAGAAGAAACUGAUUGACCCUUGGGUCUUUCAAACAGCAAGUUAACUCAGAGCCCUGCCAGAUGCUUCUCGCAACAAGAACAAAAGUUAUCAGCAUUCGCUCGCACAUGAACUGCAACGUUGUGACCAGAGCGAAGAUGCUAAGAUGUCGGUGAGAGUAAUCCAAACUUCAAAAUAUCCCUCUCAGUUACAAAUAAGUUAUAUCUGCAUUAACGCAGGUUAAUUAGCUAAAUUAUAGAUUAAUCGCAAUAAAAUAUUUAAAUCUA